CCUACGGGAGGCUGCAGUAGGGAAUCUUCCACAAUGGGCGAAAGCCUGAUGGAGCAACGCCGCGUGGGUGAAGAAGGUCUUCGGAUCGUAAAACCCUGUUGUUAGAGAAGAAAGUGCGUGAGAGUAACUGUUCACGUUUCGACGGUAUCUAACCAGAAAGCCACGGCUAACUACGUGCCAGCAGCCGCGGUAAUACGUAGGUGGCAAGCGUUAUCCGGAUUUAUUGGGCGUAAAGGGAACGCAGGCGGUCUUUUAAGUCUGAUGUGAAAGCCUUCGGCUUAACCGGAGUAGUGCAUUGGAAACUGGGAGACGUGAGUGCAGAAGAGGAGAGUGGAACGCCAUGUGUAGCGGUGAAAUGCGUAGAUAUAUGGAAGAACACCAGUGGCGAAAGCGGCUCUCUGGUCUGUAACUGACGCUGAGGUUCGAAAGCGUGGGUAGCAAACAGGAUUAGAUACCCCUGUAGUC
RNAcentral lists this ribosomal RNA (465 nucleotides) under uncultured bacterium. RNAcentral describes it as "partial 16S ribosomal RNA". It matches the Rfam family "Bacterial small subunit ribosomal RNA", at positions 338 to 795 of the family's 1533-position model. The record is from RNAcentral.